GGCGACAGCGGGGAGUGGUGAUGAGAUGAGGAUUGAUGAGAGUGCUAGUGCUGCUGAGAAUGCUUUUAGAUUUGAGUUUACAUCGUUGGUUGGUUUUUCUUGGUUUGUGCUGCAGUGGAUGAUGUUGGUUGAGAGUUUUGGUUUUUGAGGUAAUUUUGGUCUUAGGGUUGAGGUGGGUUUGGAGAGGUUAGUUGGAAUUGUUAGAGACAUUUUUGUGUGGAAGAAGAAGAGAAGAGGGAGUGAAGGGUGUUGGAUUUGAUUUGUGUGUUGUUAUGGGAAAGAGAAGAAGAGAAGGUUUUUAGAUUCUGUGUGGAGAAGAAUUGGUGGUGGGAAAGUGGAUU
This 341-nucleotide long non-coding RNA is filed under the name Medicago truncatula (barrel medic). RNAcentral describes it as "long non-coding RNA (MTRU_LNC008163)". Lineage: Eukaryota; Viridiplantae; Streptophyta; Magnoliopsida; Fabales; Fabaceae. The record is from RNAcentral.